RNAcentral lists this unclassified non-coding RNA (280 nucleotides) under Hevea brasiliensis (rubber tree). The record is from RNAcentral. Lineage: Eukaryota; Viridiplantae; Streptophyta; Magnoliopsida; Malpighiales; Euphorbiaceae.
UUCUCUUCUCUUCUUCCAGCGGCGUUUAGGGCUUUCUUUCCAUUUCUCUUCUCGCCUUCUGCAGAUCCUAUCACAAUUCUACUCCAAUCAUGUCGACUAUCAAACUCCCAACAUCUUGCCUGAUUAAAACUGCUACACCAAGGAGAUCCAAUGCCCUGGUGCAGAGGCCAUCUUCUUUGUGCUCCAUUAGGAGUGUAUCCAGGGCAUUUGGAUUGAAGUCUUCCUCAUUCAAAGUGUCAGCAAUGGCUUCUUACAAAGUGAAAUUAAUUGGACCAAACGG